Molecule: ribosomal RNA, 440 nt
Filed under: uncultured bacterium
Lineage: Bacteria
Description: partial 16S ribosomal RNA
Rfam family: Bacterial small subunit ribosomal RNA
Source: RNAcentral
CCUACGGGAGGCAGCAGUAGGGAAUAUUGCUCAAUGGGGGAAACCCUGAAGCAGCAAAGUCGCGUGGGGGAUGAAGGUCCUAGGAUUGUUAACUCUCUUUGUCAGAGAAGAAAAUGCCGGUAUCACACGAAUACGCAACAGUUAACUCCGUGAAAGCAGCCGCGGUAAUCCGGAGGGCGGACGCGUUACUCGGAAUAACUGGGCGUAAAGCGUGCGCAGGCGGGUUUGUAAGUCAGAUGUGAAAUCCUGUAGCUUAACUACAGAACUGCAGUUGAAAAUAUGAGUCUAGAGUGUGGGAGAGGUAGGUGGAAUUCGUGGUGUAGCGGUAAAAUGCGUAGAUAUCAAGAAGAAUACUGAUUGCGAAGGCGGCCUACCGGAACAUUACUGACGCUCAUGCACGAAAGCGUGGGGAGCGAACAGGAUUAGAUACCCUUGUAGUC